This 744-nucleotide ribosomal RNA is filed under the name uncultured Acidobacteriota bacterium. RNAcentral describes it as "bacterial SSU rRNA". It matches the Rfam family "Bacterial small subunit ribosomal RNA", at positions 8 to 766 of the family's 1533-position model. The record is from RNAcentral. Lineage: Bacteria; Pseudomonadati; Acidobacteriota.
AGAGUUAGAUCAUGGCUCAGAAUCAACGCUGGCGGCGUGCCUCAGACAUGCAAGUCGAACGAUUAAAGUUUCUUCGGAGGGUGUAUAAAGUGGCGCACGGGUGAGUAACACGUAAGUAAUCUACCCUCGGGUGGGGAAUAACAACCGGAAACGGUUGCUAAUACCGCAUAAUGCAGCGGCUCCUUAUGGAGACAGUUGUUAAAGGAUUUAUUCGCCUGAGGAGGAGCUUGCGGCAAAUUAGCUAGUUGGUAAGGUAAUGGCUUACCAAGGCUACGAUCUGUAGCCGGUCUAAGAGGACGGUCGGUCACACUGACACUGAAUAACGGGUCAGACUCCUACGGGAGGCAGCAGUCGGGAAUUUUGGGCAAUGGGCGAAAGCCUGACCCAGCAACGCCGCGUGAAGGAUGAAGUAUUUCGGUAUGUAAACUUCGAAAGAAUAGGAAGAAUUAAUGACGGUACUAUUUAUAAGGUCCGGCUAACUACGUGCCAGCAGCCGCGGUAAUACGUAGGGACCAAGCGUUGUUCGGAUUUACUGGGCGUAAAGGGCGCGUAGGCGGCAUGACAAGUCACUUGUGAAAUCUCUGGGCUUAACUCAGAACGGCCAAGUGAUACUGUCGCGCUAGAGUGCAGAAAGGGCAAUCGGAAUUCUUGGUGUAGCGGUGGAAUGCGUAAUAUCAAGAGGAACACCUGAGGCGAAGGCGGGUUGCUAGGCUGACACUGACGCUGAGGCGCGAAAGCCAUGGG